Molecule: long non-coding RNA, 1456 nt
Filed under: Heterocephalus glaber (naked mole-rat)
Lineage: Eukaryota; Metazoa; Chordata; Mammalia; Rodentia; Bathyergidae
Description: lncRNA (ENSHGLG00000025857.2)
Source: RNAcentral
GAUUGAAAAGCUUCCCAAGGCGCCAACCUUCAAGAUUUAAAGGGAAGUAGGGCUGAUUUAGCUCUGUUCUGGUUCUGUUUCUGCUCAGCAUUCUCAGGUCUAAGAUUCCUGGGUUGGCUUCUGAGAGGGAGGAGACAGCCACCACAGCAAGAACAGCACCAGGAGUUUUAGAUUAAAAAUGGAAAGCAGAGAGUAGGGGAUGAGGCCUGUGGGCUGAGGACUGCCUGGCUCAGAACGGUGGAGGGAGAAGGUCAAGAGGAGGAGGGGAGCCAUCAGAGCUAACUGCCCGUCACCUGCUUGCCUUCAGAAGAUGUGCCUUCCGGGACCUGGUGGAGAGCAGAUGCCAGUGAGGUGCCUGUGGAGAGAAGGAAGCGUUUUCAUGUUCAGCCACACUUCUGCGGUCAUGCAAUUGGGUAACAGGGAAGAGGAAGAUGAUGAUGGCGGUGGUGGGGCUCCCUGUGAGUCUUGACCUGAACACUUUACCGUUGACCUUGCCUCUGGAACCUUCCCUGGUGGGGGCUCAUCAGGGCUGACAGAAUGGAGACAUGAUAUCUGGACUUGAGCAGCCACCUUGGACCACGAGAUGACAUGACAAUGACAGUGAAUUACAAAAUCAGAAGAUGACAAGUGGAGCCAUCAUAUCAACCCUGGGCUGUCUAUCUCUGGGCUUCUUAUAUGUAAAAAAGAAUACAUUUCUGACUGAUUCCAGCUGCUAUUAUUUGUGAGGGAGCUGGCAGAAGGGAGCUAGCUCUACUAUACCCAUUAAACUGACACAAGUAUAAUUUCACCUUUCUCUCUUAGGUGGUGGCCUGAGGAGUAGAAUUCUGGAGACCUAAGGUCAGAGCAGAAACACUGAAGGCCUCUGGGUGGUGACACAUUUCCUGACUGGCUCAGGCUGCUGCUGUUCACAGCCUGGCCGAGCUCCUCUGUUUGGCCUGAGCAGUGAGAGAGAUGGACAGAGAAUGGAAGGGAGAGGAAGCUCUGACUGGUCCUCACAGGGCUGAGUUGCCAAAUGUCUUGUUCUGAAAAGGGAACGGGUUUCACGUGGAUAGAUGGAAGGACUACUUGUUCCCUCUGGAAAGUUCUAUUAAAUGACCAACCCAGACACACUUUAAUAUUAAUGGGAAAUUCCUCCCGUUGUUUAUGAAAUCAUUUUAGAGUUGAUUUUAAAAAGACAGGGGGAGAGGGAGAAAAAGGCAUUUGUUAGCUAAACGAAACCUAGACAAUUAUUUAUAGAUGCAUCUGAGUGGCUUGUUUUAACAUGGAGCAACUGUCUGAAAAGACUCCACUUUGACACCAGUAAGCACUCCUGGCACUAAGAAUAAAUUUAUGAAUGUCUUUUAUGAGAGUCAACAAACUAGACAAAUAACCCCACAGACUGUCUUUCGCGUCUCGAACCAGAACAAAGACAGUUGUAUUCGUCAUUGGUCCUGGGCAGGAACUGGGCCAAGCUGAG